CACGUAGGGGGCAAGCGUUGUCCGGAUUUAUUGGGCGUAAAGAGCUCGUAGGCGGCUUAGUAAGUCGGGUGUGAAACCUCCAGGCUCAACCUGGAGACGCCACCCGAUACUGCUGUGGCUAGAGUCCGGUAGGGGAGCGUGGAAUUCCUGGUGUAGCGGUGAAAUGCGCAGAUAUCAGGAGGAACACCGGUGGCGAAGGCGGAUCUCUGGGCCUUGCCUGACGCUGAGGCGCGAAAGCUAGGGGAGCGAACAGG
Molecule: ribosomal RNA, 254 nt
Filed under: uncultured bacterium
Lineage: Bacteria
Description: partial 16S ribosomal RNA
Rfam family: Bacterial small subunit ribosomal RNA
Source: RNAcentral